Molecule: long non-coding RNA, 13213 nt
Filed under: Aquilegia coerulea
Lineage: Eukaryota; Viridiplantae; Streptophyta; Magnoliopsida; Ranunculales; Ranunculaceae
Description: long non-coding RNA (ACOE_LNC001436)
Source: RNAcentral
GCAACAAUUGAAAAACAAGUUCUUGGUGUCUUCACUCACAGGUCUCCUACUGGUGCUUGGGCCAUUGCUAGGUAGAACUUGUUGCAUAUUGACCCCACUGAUACAAAUGGCAGGAACAAUUACCUAUUUUAGUCCUCUAACUUUGCUCAAAUUUUUAGUUGAGUCCUUAAAGUUUAAACUGGUCAAUUUGGUCCCAAAUCUUUCGAAACCUUUGCAAAAUGGUCACUCGUUAUCUUCAUGUUUCCAAGUAUUUAACAAAGUUGCCCAGUAGCAGUUAAUUAUCAUAUAUGGUCCACCCAAUUGCCCAGUAGCUAUAUCUAAAGUGAAAAACUUUAAGUUGAACAAUAUCGAAAAUGAUUAACCUCCUUCCUUUAUAUUUUGGCAUUUCAGAAACUGCCACGUAUGAUAGUAAACUACCAUUGGACAACUCGGUUAAAUGCUUGGAAACAACCAAACCAUUUUGCAAACGUUUUGAAAGAUUUGGGACCAAAUUGACCAGUUUAAACUUUGAGGACUCAACUGAAAAUUUAAGCAAAUUUAGAAGACCAAAAUAGCUAAUUGUUCCAGAUGGCAGUAAUGUACUGUACCACACCAGCGUUACUCUGAAGUCUGAACUCUAACAGGUAUAUUAUUGGUCUUCGGUGGCACUCCAUAGUCAAAAUUACACAACAUACAAUUGGAUUCUUGCAGCUUUCCCCAAGUCAGCAGUUUGUGGUGUGUAAGAAGAGCCUCGUGCAUAGCUAGCCACCACCACCACCACUAUUCUCUUAUUUCUCUUCCUGGGACGUGUAGUCUUCUCUUCAAGGACAUCUUAAUCUCGACCACCACCACUCACCAUCAUUGUGAGCACUUCUCUUCACUUCUUAUCUGAUUUUAAAAACCUAAUUUUGAUUUUGAUUUUGAAAAACCUAAUUUUGAUUUUGAAAACCUAAUUUUGAUUUUGAUUUUGAAAUUGGGGGUUUUAAAAACCUAAUUUUGAUUUUGAUUUUGAAAUUGGGGGUUUUUAACAAACCCUAAUUUUGAUUUUGAUUUUGAAAUUAGGGGUUUUUACCCACCCUAAUUUUAAUUUUGAUUUCGAAAUUAGGGGUUUUAAAACCCUAAUUUUAAUUUUGAUUUCAAAUUGGUGGUUUUAAAAAACACUAAUUUUAAUUUUGCUUUGAAAUUUUGAAAUUAUGGUUUUUAAUUGGUAGAUAUCAACCAGAUUCAUUCAUAGAGGACAGAACGUGACAUUUUACAUUACCAUGGACCCAAUGUUGUAUUAAUGAAAAAGAAUUGUUGUUGACUUGUUUUGGCAUGUGUUACAUUAAUACAACAACAAGUCAACAACAACAAUUUUUUUUUGUUUUUUUAAGUUUUGACACGGCGCAAUAACAGAAAACCAAAGUCCUGUGGGUACGUCCGUGAUCUAUCUGCUUGACUUAAUAAGGCUUUAUAUUGAACCGUAUUCUAUCUUCUAUAUUAUAAUCUAUAAAGGGUACAUAAAAUAGAUAAGUUUGGGUUAUAAGUAGUGUUCCAGAUUCUCUCGAGUUCGAAGUUGAGAUUAGAUCUGCGGUUGUGAUUGGAUUGGAGACAAACUCAUUUAUUAAUGAGUUAAUUAGCGACUGCCCCUAGAUUUAAAAGCCAAAGUUGUGAAUGCCCCCAGAUUUUUUUUUUUUUGUUUAGUGAUGCCCCAUAGAUUUGCUUCCUUAUUCUUUUAAUACCAAAACUACCCUUUCAUUUUGUUUAGCCUUUACCCCAAACUCCGUAAAACCAUUUUAACUACCAUGUAUGAAAGAAAUUGGUGGUUUUUGUUUCGAACAAUAGAUCUAGAUAAAAACAAUCACACACAUCUCGAGGUUUAUCCUACGAUAAUAAAACAAAACAACCAAUAACAUGAUGCCACAUGUAAAGUGCUUCACCAAAUUAAACCCACAAAUCUCUACUAAUUGAACAUCUUCUUCACCCCCAUUUCAAUAGCAAAACCCAAAGUAUCUUCACCCCUAUUUUCAAAGUCUAUCUUCUCACCUUGACCCCCAUCAUCAGUUUUAUAGAGUUAGGGGCAAAUGCUAAACAAAAUGGAGGGGUAGUUUUGGUAUUAAAAGAAAAAUGAAGCAAAUCUAGGAGGCAUCACUAAACAAAAAAAAAUCUGGGGGCAUUCACAAUUUUGGCUUUCAAAUCUGGGGACAAUCGCUAUUUAACUCUUUAUUAAUCGUUGGAUUAGAUUGGGUCCAAACUUAAGUUGUGUUGGAUGGUUGGGAUCACAUUUAGAUUGAAUAGUUUUCUUAAACCUUAAUUGUCAAUUUUCUUCCUCUUCCUCUUCUUUGUUUCCUCAUCAAGGUACUGCGAUUCUAUCAUCAUCUCAAUCAUAAUCAUCAUUGUCUUAAUCAUAAUCGAUCAGAAAAAAAAUUCAACAAAAUUCUCAAUCAUAAGCAUCAUCGUCUCAAUUAAUCAGAAAAAAAUUCAACAGAAAUUCUCAAUCAUAAUCAUAAUCUCAGGUACUCUAGUCUUCAAUAGUAUCAUCAUCAUCUCAAUAAUCAUAAUCAUCAUCGUUUCAAUCAUAAUCAGAAAAAAAAUCACUGCACUUAUACAGCUUCAAGUAAACUUAAUUUUUGUAUUGUUUGCCAAUCUCUUUCUUCAAAGUAGGGGUGGCAGAUGUUGACACGACCUGUAAACCCAACACGAACACGACCCGCAAAUAACUUACCCGAACACGACACGCUACCUGGUUCGUGUUAUAUAUGGAUUAACCCGAAAACCCCGCUACAUAAAUGGGUCGUGUUCGGAUUUAACACGUACACCCGAUCUGACACGAUAACAACCCAUUUUCACAGCCGUACUCAUUGAUCUGAAGAAGAUUCACAACUGAAAAUAAACUGAUUGGUGGGAAGAUUUGUGGACUAUGGUCUAUGAAGUGAUGAAAUUUUAUUAAUUAAAGAUGGAAAGAUUUCCAUCAGGGUUUCUGACCAGAAGAACUUCUAAUACAUUAGAUCUUCAACUACAUCUUCUUCAAAACCCAUAUUUGGGUACCUUUACUUCAUCUUCCUUCACUAAAUUCGAAAAAAUAACACAGAUUCACAACAAAAUCAUCAAUCUUUUGAAAAAAAUUCAACAAACCCAAUUUUUUUCACAACUUCCAAGUCUUAAUCAAUCAAUUCCACUUCUUUAACAACAUACCCAUCAUCGAAAUCUAAUAUCUUCAUCUUCUUUCUUUGAUAUUUUAUACAAAAUCAUAAACCCCAUCAUUAUUUUAUUACUCUGUUCUUCUAUUGAAUAUAAGGUUUUUUGGAAGAAUUUGAUAAUUGGGUUGAAGAGCUGAGAGAUGAAUAGGAAGACAAAGAAGAAGAAAGAAAGAUUCGAACCAAAUUAACGUGUCGGGCGUGUCACCCACUAAACAAACAAGGUCGUGUUCGGGUUGACCUGUUUAGUAACUGGGUCUCUUUCGGGUUAAUCUGUUUUGACACACAACCCAGUACUGACCCGACACGACCCAUUUGCCACCCCUACUUCAAAGUAAGUGGUGAAGUGGUCUUCAAGGGAUUGCUUGCUAAUUGACUGCAUCCACUCGAUCCUAAGCGGGUAAUAUUUUUAUCUUGCUUUAAGGAAUUAUAAUUAAGCUAUUUUUAUCUUACGUGAUUUUUUUUUCUCAUUCGAAUGAAGAAACUCCAUAUCAAAAUGGACUACCACGAUCACAUAAUUAUUCUAGUGAUUUGCGUAAAGAUGCCCAUACCCCCUUCUGUAAACCUAAUACCGUCUUUUUGUUAGAUCAUUAUAAAUUGAAUUUCCUAUAGAAAUUUUUUUGUAAGAUAUUUGAAUUGGAUGGACAUUGCUUCCAUUAGUAUGUGUAAUAUAGUCCUUCUAACAACUUUCCAAUGUACUGUCUUCUUCCAUCUUCACUAUCCCCCCCAUCAGCUUUCCUUUAACAAAACCUAAAACGGAACCUUUUUGAUAUAUCAUCCCGGUACGUUGAACAUAAAUGUAUCACUCAACAAACUGAAAUUGAUGAGAUAAUAAGUUUGAAUUGUUAUUCGAUCCUAUCAUGGUCAUCUUAGUGGUGUACAUUGCUUGGCUCUUCACCCGACUUUAGAUAAUGUAAUGUUUACAGGUGGAGGUGAUUCGGUCUGUCGUGUAUGGGAUGUUCAUACAAAGACCCAAAUUCAUGUUGUUUCUCAUUCCAAUACAGUUUUAUAUCUUCUUGCAAGACCUGUAGAUCCACAGAUUUUGUAACAGGUUCCCAAGACUCAACCAUAAAGUUUUUGGACCUUAGUAUGGGAAAACAAUGGAGACUUUCACUCACCAUAAGAAAUAUGUUCGACCAAUGGUACAACAUCCCAGUGAGCAACAUUGCUUUGCAUUUACAUCCCCUGAUAAUGUCAAGAAGUUUAGCAAUAGUAUAGUUUUCACCUACGGGAGGGCACCUCUUCUUUAUUGAUCUGAGCCGUGAUUCUCUGUCAUCUUAGGUGAUACACUGUAGUAGUGUAGUUCCGUACAAGCAAUAGUUCCAACCAAGUUAAACAUGAAAAUUGGAAAGUAAUGAUAACAAUGACUUGAUAGUUGAGAGUCAGGUUUGAUAAUGGCAGUCAGAAUUCUGAGUUUCUUUGACCUCCCAUAAUGGCAGUCGGAACAAUCUAAUUGCAAGUUUGUUUUACAUCUUGCAGACAACUAGAAUAAAUAUUUUCUAGAAUAAUUGGUGUAUCAUAACAGUUUAUGUAUAAGUUCUAGAAAAAACUACAGUGUAUCACCUUUUAAUGUAAAUAAAAUUUAUAGGAUCGUGAAAUUUUUUUCUAGGAUCAUAAUUUUUUUCUAGAACUUUUACGAUCGACAUUGAAGUUUUUGUAUCACAACAGUUACUAAAAAUAAGAAAAAAACACACUAUAUAUUUUGUGUUAUCAUUAUACACUUAACAUGUUUAUUUAUUUACAUUAAGAGAGUAAGCUCCUUUUUUUUAAAGUUAUAAGCUAAAUUAAUCUAUAAAUUUGGUCUGACAGGUACUGAUAUUAUUACCAGUGGCAAGCAUUGCAUUUCGAGUUAUUAAGAGGCUUAUACAGUUAACACCUUUGUCACACAAAGUAAGAUUUUUCUAUUUCCUUUUCUUUUGUAUAUUUUUUCUAUUAUAUAGUCGCAAUUUAUUUCAUGCUUUAGCUAAGAUUUGAACCACUAUAGUAAAAUAUUCAAAUUAGAGUUGAAGUUCCUAAUGUUUGUGUUGAGGUACACUUCACAAUCUGGAUGGUAGUCUACAAUUUAGUUUAUAAUCUUCCGCAAUUCCAUACUGAACAGAUAACAUGUUGUUUUUCCAUAAGUUGCUCAUUUUGUGAAUUGUCUACCAGAUGUUCAUUCUACUGUUAUGUGAUAUUUAUGGCAACAUUCGUUUUAAACUAACCUGGAUAGCAAUGCUAAAAUAAUGAAAUAUUGUAUAGUAAUGUUACUAUCUAACUCAUGAUAGACGAAGAAACAUUGAGGUCUUGAUGGAAUGAGCCUUUCACAGAUAAGAAGAUCGUAUACAUUGAUUACGAGCCUCAAAUUAAUCUAUUGUUGCUUUCUACUUUGUACCAGGUGGCAUAUCUUGACAUGACCAACAUACUUGACCUUGCAAAGCUCUGCAACUCAGUUCAAUAUUUUACUGGUAUAUACUCAAAUCUUCUUGGAACACCUACUAGGCAGCCGCAGGGUGUAAGUGUAAUAGUGUUUUUAGUAUUGUUUUUGAAAUGAUAUCCUAUUACGGAGGAGAACUUCAUUAUACAACCAAAAAUGAUUAUGAUAUUAGCAUUAGAACAACUGCUAGCCUUCAUAACCUUGGGUAUUUAGCACAUUGUAAUGAAUGAGCUGAUAUUCGGUUUCUUAGCCAAGUGUAAAACAAACUUCAAAAUGUUAAAAUGACUGCAAUGGACCAAUAUAUACACUCAAUUAGCUAAUACCUUCUAGAUACCUUUGGUUUAAGGCUUCUCCUUUUUAUCUGGGGGUCAUUGAAUACGUUCCAUUACUCUGGAAAUUGAGAAACAAUCUUCUAAUAAAUGUCCAUAUAAGUACGCUGACAUUUUACUGCUUGAGUAUGCAUUUUGUAUGUUCCAGAUUUCUAUAUUGAAUUAGUUUUUUAUGUUCUUUAUGUUGUUUUUAUUGAUAUUGUACCUUAAGAAGCUCUUACUUUGCAAGUUAGGAUAAAAAUGAAGAAUUAAUACUCAACUGGAUAUCAUUCAUUUGUUCUCUCUUUUCAGAGGUUGCUAAUCUGCAUGAUAUUUCCUUAUAUAUAAUAAUCUCUUUCAGAUACUUCUCGAGCUUGAUCAUCUAAACGAUUCCUCCAAACCUUAGGUCAAGAUUAAAGGAACAAAUAGAGAAGUAACAUCUGCUGCCAGUUCAACACUUGGCCUAGAUGGUACAUAUACUACACAGGUGAUUUAUCUCACUAUUAUACUAUUGGUCGGUUUGAUUCUAUGUGAUGUACAUGAUUUCCAUUUCCUUUGAUAUAAUUGCUUGAUUUCCCACACCUACAGAGCUACUUUCAAAUCAUUCUUGAAAGUUUGGCAACAUCUGAAAGAAGCUCAACAGAAUUCACUGUCAGCAAGCUGCACAAUUGUAGAAGCUGAAGUUCUCUUUGUAGCACAACUCUUCAGGUCAACCCUUCACAAUGUAUAUGGUACUUUACAAUUUAGUUUACAAUCUUUCCGUAAUUCGAUUCUUCAAUUAUAUGGCAGUUGGCACUAAUAAAAUUCUGCCCAAAGAAUACUUAAUAGAUAACAUGUUGCUUUCAUUGUUGUAUGGGGGGUUUGCUUUAUCUGCUUUCAGUUCAGUUUAUCCUCUCAUUAACCAAUGAACUCUCUUCUGACUGGAGUAAUAGCUUUGUUUGCUAUGAAAGGUUUAUAUUAAACAAUCAAUAGGAUUUCGGCCAUGUAAAAGCCAACAAUAUCAUGGUGAACUCAUGUUCUUAUUUAACGAGAACAAGUCCUUGAUGUAUAGGAAGAGCGUGAAAAAAAUACAAUAUCUCAGAAUUUAUUUGUCAGUAAAUGGGCAGAAUAGUAUUCCCAGUCUAAGAAAAGAACAAAACUUUAAACGUCAUAAUUUGCAUCUUCGUUAUCUCUUUGAACUCUAAAGUUGUCAUACUAAUUUUCUAAACUCGUGUGCGAAAUGAAUGAUAUAUACCUAUGAAUAGUUUUAGGCAAGAUAGAACUUUCCAUAUACACCAUUGACAUAAACUCCGUGCGACAAAUGAGGCAGAUGACUUCAGGUUCCAAAGAGAAAGUUAUAGAUGGUUUCUCCAAUAUACUUAGAUAAUAAUGAAAUUGAGGUAACGACAUGGACUUCAUAUACACAAAACUAUAUUACAAGUGAGUGGAAUACAGUAUAUCAGAGUAACUUUAGAUAUUAGUAUUUAUGUUUUGUUCACUACAGAUUUGCUUGGAUGUUUUAUAGUUAUUAUUAAGAGUCAAAUGAACCCUAUGAUUCAAUGUUCUUCACGAGAUGUAGAAAAGGACAAUUAGGAAGUUUCAAGCAGUGGAACUUUGAUAAAAGUGCUGGAGAAGUUCUGAAGGCCAUUAAAAACUGACUUAGACACACUUUACCAUUAGCCACGCUGCCACAUCGUUGAUCCAAAGUUUAAUCUUGAUGGUUUCUUAAAGAUGGUAUUCUUUCAUUAUCAAAUGAUGAGUACAUGACCUACUAAUAAACAUGGAAUACAUAUAAGGUUAAUCAUAAGCUUUUUGACAAACCAUAAAAUUAUAGGUGUGAUGAUCCCACUGUCAGGGUGUUAGAUUGUAUUGAGUUUAAUUACUCGGUUUACUACUGAAAUGAGCCAAGAGAGAGAUGUUAUGUGUCUUGCCUCUUGAUUCCUUCCCAGUUUUAGAUUUAUUGUAGCCACAAAUUCAUCAAUAUACAUGUGUUGAAAUUUAAUUUUGGGUAGAAGUAUGGGCUAAAUAUGAUGUUAAGUCUGUGUUUUAUAGUAUUUAUUUGUAUAAAGUAGGGAUUAAAAUCCCAUGUUGAAAUUGAAUUUUGGCUAAAAGUCUCGAUAUGAUUAAGUUUGUUGGAAUUUGUAUUUUUUUAUUGAAAUAAUUCCUCAUUAAGUUGACUUGCUGUUCACAAUUUAGUCUAUCUUCCCCUUCAUUUCAAGUUCGAAGAGUUUACAAAGACAUAGAUAUCAGUUUCUUUUAUAACUGCUUCAUUGGUCUACAUUGUAGAAAAGAAGAAAGAUUUAAUUAAUGGAUUAAAAAUGUAUCCAUCUUCAUUUCUCUAUGAUUCAGUAAGGCAACCCACAUGUUACAUCUGCCUAAUUGUGCCUGUAGGUGAAGUCUUGCGACAGUUAUGAACAAAAAGUAUUUUGUGCAAAACCAUAAAACAAAGAGUAAAUGAUUAAAGCUUACCUUCAAGAGAACCAUCAUUUCAUGUAAAGCCCUUGACGAAGGCUUCCAUGCUGACACCUGAAUACUAUUACAUUAAGUGACCAAGACUCCAGAAGGUGUGUAUUUUUAAGUAGAUUUCUCGAGUUUUAUCUUUGAAAAGUUAUCAUUAGCUAUCUUUUGUUCCUUCAAUGUAGGCUGAUUAAUUACAAGCCCAGUUAAAUCUUAAGGCAUUAGAAGUCAACAGUUUUGUUUUGGAGUUAUGUGUGCAACCUUCAUCUGUUCAUGGAAUACUUUUUUUCAUGUUCGUUGAUCUUCAAAGGCCCUCAAUGAGUAGACUCUGACAGAUACAAUUAGCUGUAUAGGAUAUAUUAUGUUUUGGUUGUUCUCCUGGUUUAAUCUUAUUAUGAUCACAAGCUGUGUAUAUCUUAAUAGAAAUCCCCAACGUUAAUAUGUCCUAUUUAUAUUCAUGAUUGAGAAUGGGUCUGAGAUAUAUCAAUUUUAAGGAUGAUCAGAUGGUAUCAGACCCGACGACGGUUCGCCUGUUGUAGGUGGGAAGUACGCUGGAAAGGCCCAGGGAGCGCCAGGUACUUGUCUCACUUGGCAGGGAACGUCAGAGAUUUUGGGACUGUACUGAGUGUACUGCAGAGCCGGGGACGGCUCUAUUUCUAAGGUGGUGAGAUUGUAACACCCAUGAGUUGGUGUUAGUCCCACAUUGCCAAGGAAGUGGUUGUAUUGGUAGUAUAUAGAGCUUAACCAUACUCUAACUAAUGUCAAGGCCUUUUGAGGUAAAUUAAACCACAUGGGUGGGCCCUGAUCCAAAACCCUCUACUGCUGGAUAUCCGCAGUGACUAAAGGGGAACAAUAUUGACACUAGCGAGCGGUAUGGUGCUCGACGCACCGGGAAGAGCGAGGACAAAAUCCAGGGGCGUUACAAGGUGGCAUUCAAACGACAGGAAGAAUGGGCUAAGUAGUCUUUGUUUCUAUGUGUGUAACAAGAUGACCAAUUGUCUAUGGCUGAAUGCCAGACCAGAUAGUAUGGGCACACUUCAUAUAUCAUAUGUAGAAUUCAUAUAUGAACAUUUAUUUUCUCGGCGAACACCUGAGUUGUCGAUUGUGGUUGGGUUGUAUAUGUGUCAUUCCCAUUAGGCCGAGCAUAUAUAUAAUGCUUAUCGCUGAGGGUUUUUUUUUUUUUUAUGAAAUAAUAGUUUUAUUCAAAGUCCCAAACAAGGUUUUACAUCGUGAUCAGCGUACAAACUGUACCGUCAGGUUAGAUGCUCCAUGGAAACAGAUACACUACUAUGACAAGAAUAAAACAUAAGACAAAGACCCUUGCAGAUAAACAACAUCCCGCAAAGCCAGUAAACUACUUAAGCUAUCAGCAACCUGCAUUCCCACCUUCACUAAAACUGCACUGGUAAAUAAGCAGUUCCACUUCUCUUCAGUCGCAGACCUGAGCAGAAUCAAUCCCAGACCACCUCCCAGUGUUCCAACCUAGCUCAAUGUACAUCAACUACGUUUUGCCAGUCCAUACAAUGUGUGGUAUUACUAGAAGAUAUCCCUGCGCAUAUAGAGUCAGAGUUGAUAAUCUAAAACAACCUUUCAAACAAGCUUGAGAUGAAUACUUUUGUAUAAAUUACAACUUUUUCCCUUGCUCCCUCUCUUGCUCAUAGUCGGAUCUGAAAAAACAAAAUAUUGUAAUUAGUUGUUAGCAUCAAAGUGUCAAGUAAUAAGUAAUGGAAUGGUGUGAAAAUCACGAUCAUCACAAACUUUUGUAUGAGUUCUGCAGGUUUUUUUCAGCUCUGUCCCUGGCCUCCCUUAAGACCUCCAACCAUGCCCACACUGAGAAUUUAAUACCUUUUACCAGGUCAUUUACAUUAGUCUCCACCCCAUUAAAAAAAUUCUGAUUCUUAGCUCGCCAAGUACACCAUAGGAUAGCUUUGUGGGAGUAUUGACCAAACCAGCAGCCUCAAUGUUGAACCAUUCAGCUUUGGCUAGUUACCAAGUACACCUUUCAAGUCGAUUUGGUUGAAAAGAUUAUCCAUACGAUGAACAUGCCCAGUUAACCUCAGCCAGAUUGCUUUAAUAACGUCGUUUUAAAAGUAUCCAUAACUGUUAUAAUGAAACAAGAAGUUAUGACAAUUCUGAUAUCUAAAUUAUCAAUUUUUUUAAAUUUUUUUUUUAUAGGUUCAAAAUGUCAAAAAGAGAAUCGACAUAUCAGUGAUGUAUUUUUAAUGUUGGUACCUUUUUAUAUGUUGUAGUUUUAAUAACAUCAAACUGAUGGGUUUUUUUUCUUUGACAAAAUACGUUAAGCACUCGCUUAGGGAUGGACAUAAAACAUAGGAAAGAGCUAAUUUUUAAAGGUAUUCAUAGUGGAUGGUAUACAGCUGACCUUUAUGGCAUCCUUACAAGUUAUUAUGGACAAAUAAUGUAUCCAAAUGCUUUUUUGGAAACAAUUAGAGAUGAGAAAAUAAUGGAAAUAAUGAGAUCAACAGUAUAAGAUAUACCACCAGAAGAAGAAAAGGAUAUAUAUGGACAAAAUGGACCUGAUGAAAAAGAAGAUGAUAUACAAAAAAAUUAAAAUGGGUACAUGGAGUUGAUAGAGAUAUUUACUCUACAAAAUAUUGUUUAUUAGAUUAAUUAUUAUAUUUUUAAGAAUAAUAUGGACCAAUCCAUUGACGCUUUGUAAUUUUGGUCAACGAUUUUAUUAAUGCAUGAUAUGACAAGUUUUUCAAAAGCUUUCAUGUUUAUGAAGCAGUGUAGAAAACUUUGGUGCUUAUAAUCAAUUCAUUUAUUUAGGAUUAGCAACAAAAGUUGUUUUUUGAAAAUCUAUGUCACCUAAAAGAAUAUAAUAUACCUACUGCAACGCUGCAAGCUCAAUUGGUUUAUAUUGACUUUUAUUUAUCAACCUUUUUAGAUCUACCUGAGACAUGCAGCAGUAUGUUAACGUCAUGUACAUGUUAGAUUAGUUCUCUCAAUGAUUAUAAAGAGAAUACAAUAUUCAAAAAUAUGUAAAAACCUUUCUAGGUUCAAAUUUUCUGUAUUUUGUAUUGUGAAUAAGUCUGUAUAACUUAUGUAAAUUGAUAGUGUUUUCCUGGACUGAAAGAUACAUCUUUAUAACCUAUGUAAAUUCAUAUAUGUUACACCUACUGAAUAUCUGUUUUAAGAGAAUAAAACUACUAAUCUAACUCCUCAAAUUAAAUGUGAGAGAAUAAUAUUUUUAAUAUUACUAUCUUCAAAUUAUUAAUGAUAGUCGUGGCAGGGCCACGGGUUUUACUAGUCUAUAUUAUAAUCUACAACGGGUACAUAAAAUAGAUGAGUUUGGGUUAUAAGUAGCAAUCCAGAUUCUUUCGAGUUCGAAGUUGUAGAUUAGAUCUGCGACUGUGAUUAGAUUGGAGACAAACUCAUUUAUUAAUCGUUGGAUUAGAUUGGGUCCAAACUUAAGUUGUGUUGGAUGGUUGGGAUCACAUUUAGAUUGGGUCCAAACUUAUUCAACAUUGAAAAAUUAGAUCUAUGGAUUUGAUUAGUUAUAAAUUUAGAUAGAUCAGUUUUACCUUUCGAUUGGGCCAGCCCAAAUCUAAUUACGUUUUCAGACCAUAUGAUUAGGUCUCUUUCUUCUCUUUCUUCUUCGACAAAACCUCUUUCAAUCUCUAUCUCGCACACUCAUCUUUCCAUCAAACAUUAUCGAUUUUCUCUCUAACAUAUGAUUAGAUAAUCACAACCCUACAAAUGGAAAGUUGUUAUUUUUCCAGAUCAAUCUGUUCAUUACCGAGUAGAAACCAUUAUUGGACUCAAAUAAUUUGAAAACAAAUAGGUCAAAUCAUUUGUGGAUAUUUACAACUAGACAAAAUUUAACUUAUAUAUUGAUAACUUGACAACAGUACAAUAUCAAAUCUACGAUAAUCCGUUAGAAAAAUAAUAACAUCGAAUGGGCAUUGCAUCAGCAUGCCGGCUUUCUUUUCUCUCGAAUCUCAGUAACUUAAUUUAUAUUUUUUUCAGUGUUUUCCCUUAGUCAGCAGGCUUGGUUUGAUUUUAGCAUGAAGUUGUUAAUUUACAAAUAAGUUUUCCAAAUUGAUUCAAACCAUAAUACAUCAUCAGACCCACCAUUAUAUUUAGAGAGGUACUGAUCUUUAGAUUUUUUUACAAAUGACACAUUAUUAUAUUGAUACAUCCGCCAUUAUCCUAAUAUCUUGCUUUUAUAAUUGAUAUAGUGAGUUCAAUUUUUGGGUGUUAUAAUAUCAAAAUCCUAGGUUUUAAAAAUGGUGCAGUAUUAGUACGGUUGAAUGCCAUAGGUAGUACUACACAUCUCAAGUACUACCCAAAGGUAACAUUCCUACACCAUAUUUAAUGUUGAAUAGUAUCGGUUUUGAUGGAACAUAUAAAUCUACUUUUGUAUCAGUUCUUUUACACAAUUCGAAGAAAAUAUAAUACAGACGAAUUGCCAUAUUAUGACCACAUUUGUUUUGUUAACCUUUUCUUAGAAGCCCAAGAAAAGUGUUUGACAUAUUUGGCAUUCUUGAGUAAUCUUAGGUUUCUACAAGGUCAUCAGAAAAUAGAAAAAUCAUGAUAUGUGAAUUUAAAAGUUGCAGUGUACCUUUUUGAAAGCAUAGUAUGAGUUGUGGGCAUGACAACUUCCUUCCCUGAACCUUCCACAUACUCGCUGCAGACUUCCAAAACUAACAAACAUUAUUUAUGAGAUUUUAUGCAACACAUUAGAUGCUUUUUAUGUCUUAAGGGUCUCUGAAUUUUUCUGUAAUAUUGCAUAAUAUAUCUCAUUAAAUUUGGUUGUCAUUCACAAAUACUUUCGACUAUUUGUUUGACCAAAGGGAUCCCACUCGGAUCACCACCAAUUUUGUCAAAUAUGACUAACAGAUUGUCACUUGGUGUAGGGGUACUAUAUACAACAUACAUGU